UAAAAAAAUGAUAAGAACAUGAUGUUGGUUCAGAUUAAACGCUAAAUAAGGACAUGACACAUGCAAAUCAAACGUUUAUUAUAAAAAAGAUAAUAAAUAUGUGGUGUAUACGUGAGUAAUUAUUAGGAAUUUAGAACUAUAAGAUAAGUUAAAUGCUUAAUAAAUAAAAAAAUGAAUAAUAAUAUAUUAUUUGCUUAUAGUCAAGCCAAUAAUGGUUUAGGUAGUAGGUAGAGUAAGAGUUUACCUAGCCAACGAUCCAUAAUCGGUAAUGAAAGUUAGAACGAUCACGUUGACUCUGAGACAUAGUCAAUAUCUAAAUGAUACAGCAGUGAGGAAUAUUGGGCAAUGAUCGAAAGAUUGACCCAGUUACUUAUUAGGAUGAUAUAUAUAUAUAUAUAUAUAAUUAAUUAAUUAAUUAUAUAUAUAUAUAUAUAUAUAAUUAAUUAAUUAAUUAUAUAAAAAAUAAAAUUAUAUAAAUUGAUUAAAAAUAAAAUCCAUAAAUAGUGAAAAUAAUGAUAUUAGCUACCAUAAUAAUAAAUGGAUAAAUGUAAAAAUUUAUUUUAAUAGUCCUAACCAAAAUUUGUGCCAGCAGCUGCGGUAAGACAAUGGGGGCUAGCGUUAAUCAUAAUGGCUUAAAGGGUCCGUAGAAUGAUAAAUAAAAAUUAGAGUUAAUAAAUUUAAUUAAAGAAUUAUAAUAGUAAGGAUGAAAUGAUAAUAAUCAUUAUAAGACUGGUAUGUGUGAAGGUAUUAAUUAAAUAUUAACUGACAUUGAGGGACGAAAGCUAGAGUAUCAAUACGGAUUCGAUACCCGAGUAGUUCUAGCUGUAAACAAUGAACACCAUUAAAAAAAUAAUAAAUGAAAAUGCAAGUGUUCCGCCUGAAGAGUACGUUCGCAAGAAUGAAACUCAAGACAAUAGACGGUUACAGACUUAAGCAGUGGAGCAUGUUAUUUAAUUCGAUAAUCCCCGACUAACCUUACCAUAUUUUGAAUAUUAUAUUUAUUAUUAAUAAAUAUAAUACAGGCGUUACAUCGUUGUCUUCAGUUCGUGCCGCAAGGUCUUAGAUUAAGUUCAUUAACGAACAUAACUCCAUAUAUAUAUUAAUUUUUAUUAUAUAUAAUAUUUAUACCAUUUUGGUAAAAUGAAAGGAAUUAAGACAAAUCAUGAUGAUCCUUAUAAUAUGGGUAAUAGACGUGCUAUAAUAAAAUGAUAACAAAGUUAUAUAAUUAAUAAUAAUAUAAAUUAAUAACAUAAAACAUUUUAAUCUUUAAUAUAUUUAUAUAUUAUAUAUAGUAUGGAUUAUAAUCUGAAAUUCGAUUAUAUGAAAAAAGAAUUGCUAGUAAUACGUAAAUUAGUAUGUUACGGUGAAUACUCUAACUGUUUCGCACUAAUCACUCAUCACGCGUUGAAACAUAAUAUUAUCCUAAUAUAUAUUAUUAUAUAUAUUAUUAUUUUUUAUUAAAUUUAUUUAAUUAUUUAAUAUAUAUAUAUAAGAAAUAUUAUGAAUUAAUGCGAAGUUGAAAUACAGUUACCGUAGGGGAACCUGCGGUGGGCUUAUUAUAAU
Molecule: non-coding RNA, 1563 nt
Filed under: Lachancea sp. 'fantastica'
Lineage: Eukaryota; Fungi; Ascomycota; Saccharomycetes; Saccharomycetales; Saccharomycetaceae
Description: Lachancea sp. PJ-2012a 15S ribosomal RNA
Rfam family: Bacterial small subunit ribosomal RNA
Source: RNAcentral